GGCAGUUUGGCGGAGUGGUCUAACGCGCUAGACUGUGCGUACCACCCAAUCAAAAUUUAAAAUGAAAUAUCAACUAACUCUGUAACAGUGAAUACUCAUUCAUGUUAUCUAGUCCUUUCGAGGGCGCAGGUUCGAACCCUGCAACUGUCG
Molecule: transfer RNA, 150 nt
Filed under: Penicillium polonicum
Lineage: Eukaryota; Fungi; Ascomycota; Eurotiomycetes; Eurotiales; Aspergillaceae
Rfam family: tRNA
About the family: Transfer RNA (tRNA) molecules are approximately 80 nucleotides in length. Their secondary structure includes four short double-helical elements and three loops (D, anti-codon, and T loops). Further hydrogen bonds mediate the characteristic L-shaped molecular structure. tRNAs have two regions of fundamental functional importance: the anti-codon, which is responsible for specific mRNA codon recognition, and the 3' end, to which the tRNAs corresponding amino acid is attached (by aminoacyl-tRNA synthetases). tRNAs cope with the degeneracy of the genetic code in two manners: having more than one tRNA (with a specific anti-codon) for a particular amino acid; and 'wobble' base-pairing, i.e. permitting non-standard base-pairing at the 3rd anti-codon position.
Source: Rfam by way of RNAcentral